UACAGAGGUCCCAAGCGUUGUUCGGAUUCACUGGGCGUAAAGGGUGCGUAGGCGGUCGGGUAAGUCAGCUGUGAAAUCUCCGAGCUUAACUCGGAACGGUCAGCUGAUACUGAUCUGCUAGAGUGCGGAAGGGGCAAUCGGAAUUCUUGGUGUAGCGGUGAAAUGCGUAGAUAUCAAGAGGAACACCUGAGGUGAAGACGGGUUGCUGGGCCGACACUGACGCUGAGUGCGCGAAAGCCAGGGGAGCAAACGGG
This 254-nucleotide ribosomal RNA is filed under the name uncultured bacterium. RNAcentral describes it as "partial 16S ribosomal RNA". It matches the Rfam family "Bacterial small subunit ribosomal RNA", at positions 524 to 776 of the family's 1533-position model. The record is from RNAcentral.